Molecule: ribosomal RNA, 901 nt
Filed under: Didymella negriana
Lineage: Eukaryota; Fungi; Ascomycota; Dothideomycetes; Pleosporales; Didymellaceae
Description: LSU rRNA
Rfam family: Eukaryotic large subunit ribosomal RNA
Source: RNAcentral
AAAAGGAAAACAACAAGGGAUUGCCCUAGUAACGGCGAGUGAAGCGGCAACAGCUCAAAUUUGAAAUCUGGCGUCUUUGGCGUCCCGAGUUGUAAUUUGCAGAGGGCGCUUUGGCAUUGGCAGCCGGUCCAAGUUCCCUUGGAACAGGGACGUCACAGAGGGUGAGAAUCCCGUACGUGGUCGCUAGCCUUUACCCGUGUAAAGCCCCUUCGACGAGUCGAGUUGUUUGGGAAUGCAGCUCUAAAUGGGAGGUAAAUUUCUUCUAAAGCUAAAUACUGGCCAGAGACCGAUAGCGCACAAGUAGAGUGAUCGAAAGAUGAAAAGCACUUUGGAAAGAGAGUUAAAAAGCACGUGAAAUUGUUGAAAGGGAAGCGCUUGCAGCCAGACUUGCCUGUAGUUGCUCAUCCGGGUUUCUACCCGGUGCACUCUUCUAUAGGCAGGCCAGCAUCAGUUUGGGCGGUUGGAUAAAGGUCUCUGUCAUGUACCUCUCUUCGGGGAGAACUUAUAGGGGAGACGACAUGCAACCAGCCUGGACUGAGGUCCGCGCAUCUGCUAGGAUGCUGGCGUAAUGGCUGUAAGCGGCCCGUCUUGAAACACGGACCAAGGAGUCUAACAUCUAUGCGAGUGUUUGGGUGUCAAGCCCGAGCGCGUAAUGAAAGUGAACGGAGGUGGGAACCUUUCGGGGUGCACCAUCGACCGAUCCUGAUGUCUUCGGAUGGAUUUGAGUAAGAGCAUAGCUGUUGGGACCCGAAAGAUGGUGAACUAUGCUUGAAUAGGGUGAAGCCAGAGGAAACUCUGGUGGGAGGCUCGCAGCGGUGUCUGACGUGCAAAUCGAUCGUCAAAUUUCGGCAUAGGGGCGAAAGACUAAUCGUAACUAUCUAGUAGCUGGUUCUGCCGAAGU